UUUUUUUAAUUCAUAUAUAUUAAAUUACUAAAAUAUCCUUAUUUUAAAUUAAAAUUAAUUUUUAUUUUUUCUUUUUCAUUCAAAGUUAGGUUUAAAUACAGAUAAGGUAAAAACUCCUACCUUUCCUUUCUUUCUUAUAUGGGUUUGCUACCGGCACCGAAAUCGGAACAGAUUAAAGUGAUCGGCAUCUAACAGGUAAAAAAC
This 204-nucleotide long non-coding RNA is filed under the name Lathyrus oleraceus (garden pea). Its description in RNAcentral is "Pisum sativum (pea) long non-coding RNA (PSAT_LNC037672)". Lineage: Eukaryota; Viridiplantae; Streptophyta; Magnoliopsida; Fabales; Fabaceae. The record is from RNAcentral.